RNAcentral lists this ribosomal RNA (424 nucleotides) under uncultured bacterium. RNAcentral's name for it is "bacterial SSU rRNA". It matches the Rfam family "Bacterial small subunit ribosomal RNA", at positions 917 to 1344 of the family's 1533-position model. The record is from RNAcentral.
GGGCCCGCACAAGCGGUGGAGCAUGUGGUUUAAUUCGAUGAUACGCGAGGAACCUUACCAGGGCUUAAAUGCAGGCUGCAUGGGGUGGAGACAUCCCUUUCUUCGGACCGCCUGCAAGGUGCUGCAUGGUUGUCGUCAGCUCGUGCCGUGAGGUGUCAGGUUAAGUCCUAUAACGAGCGCAACCCCUACCGUUAGUUGCCAGCGAGUCAAGUCGGGGACUCUAACGGGACUGCCGGUGCAAACCGUGAGGAAGGUGGGGACGACGUCAAAUCAUCACGGCCCUUACGUCCUGGGCCACACACGUGCUACAAUGGCCGGUACAGAGGGAAGCCACCCCGCAAGGGGGCGCGGAUCUACAAAACCGGUCACAGUUCGGAUCGGGGUCUGCAACUCGACCCCGUGAAGCUGGAAUCGCUAGUAAUCG